RNAcentral lists this ribosomal RNA (480 nucleotides) under uncultured bacterium. Its description in RNAcentral is "partial 16S ribosomal RNA". It matches the Rfam family "Bacterial small subunit ribosomal RNA", at positions 28 to 523 of the family's 1533-position model. The record is from RNAcentral.
GACGAACGCUGGCGGCGUGCUUAACACAUGCAAGUCGAGCGGAAAGGCCACUUCGGUGGUACUCGAGCGGCGAACGGGUGAGUAACACGUGAGUAAUCUGCCCCUGGCUUUGGGAUAGCCACCGGAAACGGUGAUUAAUACCGGAUACGACCACUUCUCGCAUGGGAUGGUGGUGGAAAGUUUUUUCGGCAGGGAUGUGCUCGCGGCGUAUCAGCUUGAUGGUGAGGUAAUGGCUCACCAUGGCUUCGACGGGUAGCCGGCCUGGGAGGGUGACCGGUCACACUGGGACUGAGACACGGCCCAGACUCCUACGGGAGGCAGCAGUGGGGAAUAUUGGACAAUGGGCGGAAGCCUGAUCCAGCAACGCCGCGUGAGGGAUGAUGGCCUUCGGGUUGUAAACCUCUUUCAGCAGGGACGAAGCGCAAGUGACGGUACCUGCAGAAGAAGCACCGGCCAACUACGUGCCAGCCGCCGCCGUAA